Molecule: ribosomal RNA, 985 nt
Filed under: human gut metagenome
Description: bacterial LSU rRNA
Rfam family: Bacterial large subunit ribosomal RNA
Source: RNAcentral
AUAACGGUCCUAAGGUAGCGAAAUUCCUUGUCAGGUAAGUUCUGACCCGCACGAAAGGCGUAAUGAUUUGGGCGCUGUCUCGACAAUGUACUCGGCGAAAUUGUAGUACUAGUGAAGAUGCUAGUUACCUGCGACAAGACAGAAAGACCCCAUGGAGCUUUACUGUAGCUUGAUACUGGGUUUCGAUAAUUUAUGUACAGGAUAGGUGGGAGGCGAAGAAGCAAUUGCGCCAGCAGUUGUGGAGUCAUCCUUGGGAUACCACCCUUAAGUUAUUGAAAUUCUAACCUGUAGUCCUGAGCGGGCUAGGGGACAAUGUCAGGCGGGCAGUUUGACUGGGGCGGUCGCCUCCAAAAGAGUAACGGAGGCGCGCAAAGGUUUCCUCAGCGCGGACAGAAAUCGCGCGAAAGAGUGCAAAGGCAGAAGGAAGCUUAACUGAGAGACUGACAAGUCGACCAGAUACGAAAGUAGGUCUUAGUGAUCCGGCGGUAGUGAGUGGAAAUGCCGUCGCUCAACGGACAAAAGUUACCCUGGGGAUAACAGGCUUAUCUCCCCCAAGAGUUCACAUCGACGGGGAGGUUUGGCACCUCGAUGUCGGCUCAUCACAUCCUGGGGCUGUAGUAGGUCCCAAGGGUUGGGCUGUUCGCCCAUUAAAGUGGUACGCGAGCUGGGUUCAGAACGUCGUGAGACAGUUCGGUCCUUAUCUGUCGCAGGCGAAGGAUAUUUGAGGGGAGUUGACCUUAGUACGAGAGGACCAGGUUGAACUUACCAAUGGUGUAUCAGUUGUCGUACCAACGGCACGGCUGAGUAGCUAAGUAGGGAAGGGAUAAACGCUGAAAGCAUCUAAGUGUGAAGCCCACCCCAAGAUAAGAUAUCCCAUACCGUAAGGUAGUAAGAUUCCACGUAGACUAUGUGGUAGAUAGGUUGGAGGUGUAAGUGCAGUAAUGCAUUAAGCUGACCAAUACUAAUAAAUCGAGGGCUUAACCAC